Varroa destructor (honeybee mite) is the source of this 2266-nucleotide non-coding RNA. NCBI's taxonomy places the organism in Eukaryota, Metazoa, Arthropoda, Arachnida, Mesostigmata, Varroidae. The record is from RefSeq and is a predicted model, not a curated record.
CCAGAUAUAACCUCUACAUAAGAAUCAUUUCUAUGUAUAACUGGAUGCGUUACACAAGUGAGAAGAAGUUAUCUAUUUUGACGAAUCAUCAGUGAUGUCAAUCGGGAAUAAAGCACGACCCACAUCGUCAGAGUUAAAGAAGCCUGGGUCAGUCGUGGUCGGUAGAAAACAAUCAGCGAUUGCGACGCCUAUCAAAUACGAAGCUGCGCAAAUUCCCGUUCCGAAAGCGUCUUCUAUAAAUUACGAUCUGGAAAAAGCCAUGCAAAAGAAUCCGGAAAAUGAUAAAGUCGGCGUUAUUGUUGAGAUUCCAGAAAGGUCCAUGCGUGAAAUGUUACCAGUUAUUCUAACCUUUUUUUGCAUCCUGACCUGUUUGGUCCCGAUCGACAUUUUUCUGGCACUUAGUGUUAUGAACUAUAAGGAUCCCGUUCCACAGCAGGUCACGCAGGCCAUCACGUCAUCCGAAUCCCAAGUAGAAGCCCAUCUGUUGAAAAAGCGCUCGUAUGAUCUCGAAGCCCUUGGAGCAGACUCGAAUAAAAACGUAUCGACCUCACCGGAGAACUGGUGCGAGCGCAGCGCCGAAAUUAGUUCUAACGUUUUCACCAUCACAUAUGAUCUUGGCAAAGUACAAAGGUUCCUCGAUAGGCCACUCAUCUAUGCGAUGGUUUACUCGAUCAAGCUGACAAUACGGGUUCCGCUGGCCGUACUGAGAAGCGGCUCGUAUGUGAACGCGUUUAUCUUGCCACAGACGAUCCCACCAGAAGCCUAUGUGUUUAACCUCACCAACUACGAAUUAAAUGCGCAAACAUUACGUUUUACAAAGCUUGAAAGCUUCGAUGCUUCUAAGUACGGAACAUGACUUUCCAGCACCGGGAACACUCCUGACAAAGAGUUUCUUAAGCUAUUCAAGUUUGGAGCGACUUGGACACUUCGACCUUGUGAGUCUCAACGAAGGAUUCACAUUCUACAAGUUAUACACGGUCAAUUUUGUGAUGGAUUUCGGCUUUCGGAGAUUGCGGAUAGAGACAUGUGGCCGGCCGCAUCAGUGUAAAGUUCAACAUGAUAAGCAUAUCACGGUGGCAAAUGACAGUUCGGGCUCGGUUCUGGCCAUCCGCGUAGUAAAUCAACUAAACGACGUUACUGUGCACGCUGACGGUAAUUACGCAAGGAUCGAAGACAGGGUCUGCUGUCAAGUAUAUUUGAAAACUUCUUAUCUAAAGCGGACGAAGCUAUGCCAAACAAACAACACUAGCGAAGACAUCGUUUGUAACGAUGCAACUACAGAUCCAGCAUGUAGAUCAUACGUGCAGUGAUUUACUGCUGGUAAAAAAAACACAAUGAUUAAUUUAAUUAAAUGUAAGGCAUAUUAGCAUUGCACGUACUCGUUUCGCUUACAUGCUUUAUAAUUGCGAAAUAAUCACACUCGUUACUGGCUUCCACUGAUUGCGAGGAGUUCAAAAGUAGGGAUUUUCAAGUAUACCGAAAUAUAGCGUUCCAUUUUUAAGGUCAGUUAAUAGUAACGUGUAGCGUAACAGUAAUAGUACAGAGACACGCUACGAACUAAAAAAUGUACGUUCCUUAAACAACCUAGGUAGUGUUUUCCUUUAAGGGAGUACAUUUAGGCAGAGAUCUCUCGAUGAUAAACCUAAGUUGAACGGCUCUGCUUUGCAUUGAACUCUGCAGAGGAGGUAUCUACUAAAAAGAAACUGCUGGAGUCCGCUCAGGAUCGUUCAUAUGCAAACGUGUAUCCUUUUUUGUUCAGUUGCCUAUUAUCGUAAUUGGCAAUCUGCGUGGUGUCAAAAAGUUACUCGUCGCAUCGUAGUCAGUGAUAUACAUUGCAGUGGCUUAUUAAAUUAUCAUUAUUCUAUUAUUAUUUUAACUGAAGUGAACUACUGCUUACUCUUGUCUCAAAUAGUGAUCCCCUGAUGGUUGCCUCGAGCUGGUAAAUCUAAUAAUGAAAAACCAAGACCAAGUUUAAAAUGAAUAUUAGCAAGAUAAUAGGGUUCUUACAAACGUAUCAAGGACAAAACACCAUAAUAUCGCUCCGGUAUAUAUAAUAGAGAUCAUAUAGAUACAUAUAGGUAAUCCGGUCACUCAAGUAAAUGAGUCUCGUGGUCAGAGGGAGCGUCCCAAAAUCAGCAAGUCCAGUCGGAUCAGUAUAUGAUAGACAAAGAACAAAUGAUAAACUGCCUUAUCAUUGGAAACGUGUAUCAAUUGGAAAAUGGCAUGUCAUCUAGUUAAUUUGAGUGAAGCUAGCUACGUCGAACUA